GAGUUUGAUCCUGGCUCAGGAUGAACGCUAGCUACAGGCUUAACACAUGCAAGUCGAGGGGCAGCAUGAACUUAGCUUGCUAAGUUUGAUGGCGACCGGCGCACGGGUGAGUAACACGUAUCCAACCUGCCGAUGACUCGGGGAUAGCCUUUCGAAAGAAAGAUUAAUACCCGAUGGCAUAGUUCUUCCGCAUGGUAGAACUAUUAAAGAACUUCGGUCAUCGAUGGGGAUGCGUUCCAUUAGGUUGUUGGCGGGGUAACGGCCCACCAAGCCUUCGAUGGAUAGGGGUUCUGAGAGGAAGGCCCCCCACAUUGGAACUGAGACACGGUCCAAACUCCUACUGGAGGCAGCAGUGAGGAAUAUUGGUCAAUGGACGAGAGUCUGAACCAGCCAAGUAGCGUGAAGGAUGACUGCCCUAUGGGUUGUAAACUUCUUUUAUACGGGAAUAAAGUGAGGCACGUGUGCCUUUUUGUAUGUACCGUA
Molecule: ribosomal RNA, 483 nt
Filed under: uncultured bacterium
Lineage: Bacteria
Description: bacterial SSU rRNA
Rfam family: Bacterial small subunit ribosomal RNA
Source: RNAcentral